UUCAUCUCCAAACUGCUUAAUCUUUCAUUUAGGAUUGUAAGUGUGCAUCUUUAAAGCCUGUGCCUUCACUCCUCACUAGUUGAUUGGCUACCUAUUGGGGAGUAAAACUCCUGAAACUUUGUCCUGAAGAAACAUCUGCUGACAUUGUGAAUGAGACAUUCUGAGUGAGAACAGAGAAUCAUUCUUGGUGAAAAUGCAAGGACAACAGAACCAACUAAAUGGGAAUAGGUUUACCUUAGGCAGAGGUUUGGCAGGUCUGCAGUGGAGUCCUCCAACGAAAUCAACAUUUGGUAGGGUUGGGCGAGGAAAUUCCAAAUCCCAAUAGGUUCUAAUGAGCCAGAUAUCUGCUUUUGACAUUGUCUCUAGUAAUGUAGUGGGUCGUCCUGAACAGGAAAAGGAAUACAAAAGCUAUAGGACAUUAGAAAGUUAUCAUGUGGAAAUGAAUAUGUCUGGUAAGUAUCUGAAAAAGCUUUUAAUAAUGAAGCCAAACAUGUUUAAGAGUUUCUGUGAUUUAAUAAAGCUAAUGUGUGUAUGCAUAUGUGCAUAUAUAAAAAACAUAUAUGUUGCUCAUAUUUAUGUGGACAUACUUGAAAGACACAAUGUGAGAGAUGAAUUAAGUGACAAAAUAUUUGAAUUUAUAAAUGUGGAAACUAAUCUACAGAUACAUAGCUGAUUUACUCAAAGCUACAUAGAUAAUUGUUCUAGAAAUAUUUGUAGGAGUCAUCAAACUACAUUCUAGACUCAUGAAGACAUUGAGUAACAUUAAAAAUUAUUGCUUUUGAAAAUGAAAUAAAUGGAUACUAAAAGGAUAAAUGUGUGUGACUUCCUAGGGAAGUCCUCAGUGGCUUAUUUUGUGUGUGUGACUUCCUGCUGUAUCCAAACAUUUCAAACUAACUUUACAACUGAAGCUUUUCCAUAGUGUUUUGAGUAUGAUGUAUUAUUGUGAUAAAAUAUUUUUUAUUUUAUCACCACACAUUUAAAAGAUCAACUUCUCUGACUUCAUACUCCUGCAGGCUCACCCUCAGAGACAUGACUAAUUUUGGAAUUUUCAUGCCAUUAGAAAAUAGGCUUACCUAAAAUUUCACUGUAAAACUGAUUCCACUUCUUCUCAUCAAAUGUUUGGAACCAAAAAUCAAAAUACAGCACAUACAGCAUAUUUUUUAUCCGCUCCAUGAAAGUCAUUUGAUCACUUAAUUCUGACAUAAGAAUAGGCACAUAGGAAGGAGGGAAUGAAAGUCCUGCAC
This is a long non-coding RNA of Marmota monax (woodchuck), 1244 nucleotides long. RefSeq lists it as uncharacterized. NCBI's taxonomy places the organism in Eukaryota, Metazoa, Chordata, Mammalia, Rodentia, Sciuridae. The record is from RefSeq and is a predicted model, not a curated record. The transcript is spliced from 2 exons.